This 253-nucleotide ribosomal RNA is filed under the name uncultured bacterium. RNAcentral describes it as "partial 16S ribosomal RNA". It matches the Rfam family "Bacterial small subunit ribosomal RNA", at positions 524 to 776 of the family's 1533-position model. The record is from RNAcentral.
UACGGAGGGGGCGAGUGUUGUUCGGAAUCACUGGGCGUAAAGCGCGUGUAGGCGGCCUCCUAAGUCUGGUGUGAAAGCCCGGGGCUUACCCCCGGAAAUGCACUGGAAACUGGGAAGCUAGAGUACCGAAGAGGAGGGUGGAAUUCCUGGUGUAGCGGUGAAAUGCGUAGAUAUCAGGAGGAACACCGGUGGCGAAGGCGGCCCUCUGGACGGAUACUGACGCUGAGGCGAGAAAGCGUGGGGAGCAAACAGG